GUCCAACUUCCAUAUAACUAUGAAAACAACAUGUUUGCUAUUUAUAAGGAAUUCCCUUGGGGAAACCAGCUUUAAAAAGGAGGAUAGAUUGUUGUGAGGAAAACUGGAUGUGAGUGGAUGGGGCCUCUUUAAAGGGGACAGUUUUCCAGUUUUGAAGAGACCUGUUGGGAUAAACACAUUCAAGAUAAUAGCGCUGGGACAGGACAAAAGCCACUUCAUUGUAAAAAUGCCUUCAACCUGAAACAUUCUGAUGGACCUGUGCACGAACAAUGGACACACACUGCCUAAUGUGGGAUGGAAGAGUAGCUGGUGGACCGCGGCAUUCUCUGGAUUCAUGGGAAAAUAUAAAAACACAUAAGAAGGCUGAGUGCCGAAGAACUGAUGCUUUCGAACUGUGGUGUUGGAUAAAACUCUUGAGAGUGCCUUGGACAGCAAGGAGACCAAACCAGUCCAUCUUAAAGGAAAUCAACCCCAAACAUUCACUGGAAGGACUGAUGCUGAAGCUCCAAUACUUUGGCCAUCUGAUGUGAAAAGCCAACUCAUUGGAAAAGACCCUGACUCUGGCAACAUUGAGGGCAGGAAGAGAAGGGGUGACAGAAAAUGAGACGGUUGGAUGGCAUCACUGACUUAAUGGACAUGAGUUUGAGCAAACUCUGGGAGAUAGUAAAGGACAGGGAAGCCUGACGUGCUGCAGUCCAUGGGGUCGCAAAGAUUAGGACAUGACUUAGCAACUGAGCUACUGUAAAACAACAAGAUAUGACACAACAAAGAAUGUAAAGAAAAAAAUUAAGGCUCUCAAAUAAAGAUAAAAUCAAGCAAUAAUAUGGGUAGUGG
Molecule: long non-coding RNA, 834 nt
Filed under: Bos indicus x Bos taurus (hybrid cattle)
Lineage: Eukaryota; Metazoa; Chordata; Mammalia; Artiodactyla; Bovidae
Description: lncRNA (ENSBIXG00000014720.1)
Source: RNAcentral